GGAAAGGCCUCGGGGUGGCCCCCGGCCGACGGGGAGGCCCUAGCACAGGUGCUGCAUGGCCGUCGUCAGCUCGUGCCGUGAGGUGUUGGGUUAAGUCCCGCAACGAGCGCAACCCCCGCCGUUAGUUGCCAGCGGUUCGGCCGGGCACUCUAACGGGACUGCCCGCGAAAGCGGGAGGAAGGAGGGGGACGACGUCUGGGUCAGCAUGGCCCUUACGGCCUGGGCGACACACGUGCUACAAUGCCCACUACAAAGCGAUGCCACCCGGCAACGGGGAGCUAAUCGCAAAAAGGUGGGCCCAGUUCGGAUUGGGGUCUGCAACCCGACCCCAUGAAGCCGGAAUCGCUAGUAAUCGCGGAUCAGCCAUGCCGCGGUGAAUACGUUCCCGGGCCUU
RNAcentral lists this ribosomal RNA (394 nucleotides) under uncultured Thermus sp. RNAcentral's name for it is "bacterial SSU rRNA". It matches the Rfam family "Bacterial small subunit ribosomal RNA", at positions 992 to 1382 of the family's 1533-position model. Lineage: Bacteria; Thermotogati; Deinococcota; Deinococci; Thermales; Thermaceae. The record is from RNAcentral.